UACGAAGGGGGCUAGCGUUGCUCGGAAUCACUGGGCGUAAAGCGCACGUAGGCGGACUCUUAAGUCGGUGGUGAAAUCCUGGAGCUCAACUCCAGAACUGCCUUCGAUACUGAGAGUCUCGAGUCCGGGAGAGGUGAGUGGAACUGCGAGUGUAGAGGUGAAAUUCGUAGAUAUUAGGAAGAACACCAGUGGCGAAGGCGGCUCACUGGUCCGGUACUGACGCUGAGGUGCGAAAGCGUGGGGAGCAAACAGG
This 253-nucleotide ribosomal RNA is filed under the name uncultured bacterium. RNAcentral describes it as "partial 16S ribosomal RNA". It matches the Rfam family "Bacterial small subunit ribosomal RNA", at positions 524 to 776 of the family's 1533-position model. The record is from RNAcentral.